Molecule: long non-coding RNA, 372 nt
Filed under: Sorghum bicolor (sorghum)
Lineage: Eukaryota; Viridiplantae; Streptophyta; Magnoliopsida; Poales; Poaceae
Description: long non-coding RNA (SBIC_LNC008713)
Source: RNAcentral
GCCCGCUUUAUCCUAUAAAUACUUUCUUCUCCGGUACUCCUUCUCCAUCUUAUCAUUCUAGAGCCCACAAUCCACCUUCCCGGCGGCGGCAUUGCCCAAAAACUCCAAGAAGUUCAGCAAGAACCUCCUUCACCAAUCUUCCAAGUCUUCGACCUUCUUCCUCACGAGAAAAUGGCUACCAACUUCGUCGUCCCUGUGGUCAAUCUACCAUCCUCCUUCUUUUCGUAUUUUUGCUAUACUCUUGAUCAUCCGCGAUUUCUUUUACUAAAUACACCUUUUAUUAUUUUUGUUCUUUUAUCCUCAAAACUUUUAGGAUCUGGCCGAUAAGAUUAUAAUUCCUACCGAUCAACCUCACUUCCAAUGUCUCGGCCC